GAUGAACGCUGGCGGCGUGCCUAAUACAUGCAAGUCGAGCGAACAGACGAGGAGCUUGCUCCUCUGACGUUAGCGGCGGACGGGUGAGUAACACGUGGAUAACCUACCUAUAAGACUGGGAUAACUUCGGGAAACCGGAGCUAAUACCGGAUAAUAUAUUGAACCGCAUGGUUCAAUAGUGAAAGACGGUUUUGCUGUCACUUAUAGAUGGAUCCGCGCCGCAUUAGCUAGUUGGUAAGGUAACGGCUUACCAAGGCGACGAUGCGUAGCCGACCUGAGAGGGUGAUCGGCCACACUGGAACUGAGACACGGUCCAGACUCCUACGGGAGGCAGCAGUAGGGAAUCUUCCGCAAUGGGCGAAAGCUUGACGGAGCAACGCUGCGUGAGUGAUGAAGGUCUUCGGAUCGUAAAACUCUGUUAUUAGGGAAGAACAAAUGUGUAAGUAACUAUGCACGUCUUGACGGUACCUAAUCAGAAAGCCACGGCUAACUACGUG
RNAcentral lists this ribosomal RNA (497 nucleotides) under uncultured bacterium. Its description in RNAcentral is "partial 16S ribosomal RNA". It matches the Rfam family "Bacterial small subunit ribosomal RNA", at positions 28 to 507 of the family's 1533-position model. The record is from RNAcentral.